GUCGCACCAUAAUGGAAUUUUACCUCAUUAUGGUGGAAAAGACGGUGUAUAAAUAUAUACGCGCAUAUCCCCUAUAUAAAUUAUUAUAUGUAUAUAGGGCUACGACGAUUGCGUCUAACGUCAGUAUGGUGGAAAAGCACGUAUAGCUAGCUAGCAUUUCUUCAUAUACAUAUUAUUCUCAUAAUCAUCCAAAUAUGGAUAUAUAUAUAUAUACUCACCGAAAUUCUCAAUUUCGGUUAUUCUCUAACAACAUAAAUUAUUUCGCAUGCACAUUACUUAAAAAAAAAGUCCACUCACAACUUUAGGCCUAAGCCUGACGUCGAUCCGAGGUCUCUUCUGCUUGAGCCUCCUCACGUCCUGUUUCCAAAUUGUAAAAUUAUUUUCCCAACUAAAAAUCCAAAUAUUAUACAAAAUAGACAAAAUUAAACGAGAGCCACUACAAAAAAGAAUUUAGUUAGCCACCCCAAAUUGCCACAGCACGGAUUUGCCAUCGCCGUUGGUCCAAGUUUCGCGACGGCGCUGCGACGGCAAUGCUUCCGUCGCUAAAUAAAAACCUUUUUGUGAUGGCAACACUACGCCGUGGCAAAAAAAUUUAAGUUUUGCAACGGCAACUUUGUGCCGUGGCAAAAAAUUGAAAUUCUGCGACGGCGGAAAAAGUCGUGGCAUACUUUGUAAUCAAUGGCGAUGGCAUGUUACCGCCGUCGCUAAUUUUUCUUAACUUUUUUUUAAAUGUCAACUCGAAAAUAAGAUUAUGCUUCCAUAAGGGAGCCCUAUCACGGGGACAUAAAUGUCCCAAAUUUUUUAUAUGGGUUGAAACAUCUCGUCCCCACGAGCGUGUAAGUGUUGACAGAUCAAGAAAUUAAUUUGUGAGGAAGUAGAUACAAGCGUUUUUA
Molecule: long non-coding RNA, 893 nt
Filed under: Fragaria vesca (wild strawberry)
Lineage: Eukaryota; Viridiplantae; Streptophyta; Magnoliopsida; Rosales; Rosaceae
Description: long non-coding RNA (FVES_LNC005481)
Source: RNAcentral